CCUACGGGAGGCAGCCGUGAGGAAUAUUGGUCAAUGGACGAGAGUCUGAACCAGCCAAGUAGCGUGAAGGAUGACUGCCCUAUGGGUUGUAAACUUCUUUUAUAUGGGAAUAAAAUGUUCCACGUGUGGGAUUUUGUAUGUACCAUAUGAAUAAGGAUCGGCUAACUCCGUGCCAGCAGCCGCGGUAAUACGGAGGAUCCGAGCGUUAUCCGGAUUUAUUGGGUUUAAAGGGAGCGUAGGUGGAUUGUUAAGUCAGUUGUGAAAGUUUGCGGCUCAACCGUAAAAUUGCAGUUGAAACUGGCAGUCUUGAGUACAGUAGAGGUGGGCGGAAUUCGUGGUGUAGCGGUGAAAUGCUUAGAUAUCACGAAGAACUCCGAUUGCGAAGGCAGUUCACUGGACUGCAACUGACACUGAGGCUCGAAAGUGUGGGUAUCAAACAGGAUUAGAUACCCCUGUAGUC
RNAcentral lists this ribosomal RNA (460 nucleotides) under uncultured bacterium. RNAcentral's name for it is "partial 16S ribosomal RNA". It matches the Rfam family "Bacterial small subunit ribosomal RNA", at positions 338 to 795 of the family's 1533-position model. The record is from RNAcentral.